RNAcentral lists this ribosomal RNA (200 nucleotides) under uncultured Desulfuromonadaceae bacterium. Its description in RNAcentral is "partial 16S ribosomal RNA". It matches the Rfam family "Bacterial small subunit ribosomal RNA", at positions 334 to 525 of the family's 1533-position model. Lineage: Bacteria; Pseudomonadati; Thermodesulfobacteriota; Desulfuromonadia; Desulfuromonadales; Desulfuromonadaceae. The record is from RNAcentral.
UACUCCUACGGGAGGCAGCAGGGGGGAAUUUUGCGCAAUGGGCGAAAGCCUGACGCAGCAACGCCGCGUGAGUGAUGAAGGCCCUCGGGUCGUAAAGCUCUGUCAGAGGGAAAGAAACUUUUGAGGGAGAAUAUCCCUUGAAACUGACGGUACCGCCAGAGGAAGCACCGGCUAACUCCGUGCCAGCAGCCGCGGUAAUA